UGGGGAAUAUUGCGCAAUGGGGGAAACCCUGACGCAGCAACGCCGCGUGAAGGAUGAAGGCCUUCGGGUUGUAAACUUCUUUGAUUGGGGACGAAAAAUGACUGUACCCAAGGAACAAGCCACGGCUAACUACGUGCCAGCAGCCGCGGUAAUACGUAGGUGGCAAGCGUUGUCCGGAAUUACUGGGUGUAAAGGGCGUGUAGGCGGGGAUUUAAGUCAGAUGUGAAAUUCCGGAGCUCAACUCCGGCGCUGCAUCUGAAACUGAAUUUCUUGAGUGCUGGAGAGGAAAGCGGAAUUCCUAGUGUAGCGGUGAAAUGCGUAGAGAUUAGGAGGAACACCAGUGGCGAAGGCGGCUUUCUGGACAGUAACUGACGCUGAGGCGCGAAAGCGUGGGGAGCAAACAGG
This 405-nucleotide ribosomal RNA is filed under the name uncultured prokaryote. RNAcentral's name for it is "bacterial SSU rRNA". It matches the Rfam family "Bacterial small subunit ribosomal RNA", at positions 355 to 776 of the family's 1533-position model. The record is from RNAcentral. RNAcentral also lists the same sequence under 1 other name.